CCGUAACUAUAACGGUCCUAAGGUAGCGAAAUUCCUUGUCGGGUAAGUUCCGACCCGCACGAAAGGCGUAAUGAUUUGAGCGCUGUCUCAACAAUGCACCCGGUGAAAUUGAAAUACCAGUGAAGAUGCUGGUUACCUGCGCCAGGACGGAAAGACCCCAUGGAGCUUUACUCCAGCUUGAUACUGGGAUUCGAUAUUGCAUGUACAGGAUAGGUGGGAGACUGAGAAGUAUUUACGCCAGUAGAUACAGAGUCGCUGUUGGGAUACCACCCUUGCAGUAUUGGAUUUCUAACCAGCAGCCGUGAACCGGCUGGGGGACAAUGUCAGGUGGGGAGUUUGACUGGGGCGGUCGCCUCCGAAAGGGUAUCGGAGGCGCUCAAAGGUUCCCUCAGAAUGGUUGGAAACCAUUCGAAGAGUGCAAAGGCAGAAGGGAGCUUGACUGCGACACCGACGGGUGGAGCAGGUACGAAAGUAGGACUUAGUGAUCCGGUGGUAUAAAGUGGGAUUGCCAUCGCUCAACGGAUAAAAGCUACCCUGGGGAUAACAGGCUUAUCACUCCCAAGAGUUCACAUCGACGGAGUGGUUUGGCACCUCGAUGUCGGCUCAUCGCAUCCUGGGGCUGAAGUAGGUCCCAAGGGUUGGGCUGUUCGCCCAUUAAAGCGGUACGCGAGCUGGGUUCAGAACGUCGUGAGACAGUUCGGUCCCUAUCCGGCGUGGGCGUAGGAUAUUUGAGAGGAGCUGUCCUUAGUACGAGAGGACCGGGAUGGACGGACCGCUGGUGGACCGGUUGGCUUGCCAAAGCCAUGGCCGGGUAGCCAAGUCCGGAAGGGAUAAACGCUGAAGGCAUCUAAGCGUGAAGCCCCCCUCAAGAUGAGAUAUCCCAUCGCGAAAGCGAGUAAGACCCCUUGAAGACGACGAGGUAGAUAGGUUAGAGGUGGAAGUGCAGUAAUGUAUGCAGCUGACUGUUACUAAUCGGUCGAGGGCUUAACCAA
RNAcentral lists this ribosomal RNA (992 nucleotides) under human gut metagenome. RNAcentral's name for it is "bacterial LSU rRNA". It matches the Rfam family "Bacterial large subunit ribosomal RNA", at positions 1934 to 2925 of the family's 2925-position model. The record is from RNAcentral.